UACUGAAAGGGAAGAAGUGCUUCGGUACAGAAGAGGAUGGGGUGCGGAAAAGAAAGAGAGGGUUUUUUAUCGUAGUGUGUUCGAUCCCAACGGCGGCGGCGGCGACGGCGCGCGUAGGGUCGAGGAGGUCGCGGGCGGUGGCCUCUUCCGCGGGAGGAGAGGGAGCCGCCAACGGUGAGACCGACGCCACCGCGUCCGUGUACCUGGCCCGGGCCGAGGUCGGCGCCGUUGCGUUCCCCUCUUUCGCUUGGGUGCGGCUUGCCCCACGACUACCAGCUGGACGACCCCCGCGGCCCUUGCGCGACCCCCGCACCCUGGACGGAGUGUGUCCGCGACGAGCGUCGUCGACGGUACCGGAGGUGGCAGGCCCCGAUACCUACAUGAGGGAGGCCAGGAAAAAUGAGACGUGUAACCAAAACGGCUUUCAGUUUGAAACGAUUCAAACUGGUUUAAAUAUAAUUUUUAAUAAUCGUAGAUAUUAUAGAUUAUUUAUAUUAUACUUUUAUAUAAAGUUCUACUUAGAUUACUAUAACCACAACAAUACACUUACAGAUAUUAAAAAAUAUAUUUGAACCAGUUUCAACCUACUCUAACUGAAGUCUGUUUGGAUUAUACGUUUCAUUUUUCCUGGCCUCCCUCAUGCUACACCUGUUUAUGUAACAGACCGACCUCCACCUAAGACUUCGUCGUGACGAUGAAGUUCCUACUCAGACACCGUAAACGGGUGUCAAGUCUACCUAGACGGUAUUCCUCCUUGUUUGUGAUAAAUCGAAGACCUAGAAGCAAAGCUUACUGAGCUACACCGGAAACCGCUACCAGGACGAUCUAUCAAGUAGCUACCUUCAUUGUUCGUCAGGGUUCCGUAUCUAUUCGAGGAAACAAACUAUAUAAAAUCGAGGCAGGUCGUCCUACCCGUUGACCGAAGAGAAGUUAAUAAAUAUAGAUAGACAAAAUAACAUCCAAAGUGAUUUAAACUAAAAGUCAAAACAGAUGUAACUCAACAAACAACAAACUUAUAAAAUAGUUCAUCUUGGACCGAAGAGUACCUGGAGGGCAGUAAAAGGAUUUGUUAUCAAUCAUAUGAUAUGUGUACUUGAUGUCAAUGCCUCUAGACUUGAUCUUUAACGGGAUACCACAUAAUUGAGAAUUUAUAGCACGUGUUAGUACAUGUAAUUUACAAACCUAUUCUUCAUACUACAAGAACUAAUUGUAUCAAAUGACGUCGUUUAUGAAACGUACACGGAGGUUUCAAGAGAACGAACGGCGAAGACAACGUAGGAAGACCGUUGAACUGUCAUUUGACAACCUCCACUAUAUACCAACAGGGAAGGUAACGGACCAAACGAUGGUUACGAGUAAUUAAAAAACGUAAAGAAGAUACGGAUUUCAGCAGGUCGUCAAAACUAUACAUCAACGAAGAAGACGGUUACAAUAAGACCGUAAUCGCUUGACGAGCGGAUAUUAAAAAUGACACGUUUAUUUAUUUGCACGUAUUAAACAUAAAGUAGUAGAUGUUAAGACCCAAUAAAAUAUAAGAACCAACUCAAGAUGAAAUAAUCGGUUCUUUAAUAGAUAAACUAAACGGGCUUAUGUGUCAUUCCGGAUGAGGAAGAGAAAAUAACCUCGGUAUCAAACUAACUUGGUAUUACUCCAAUGUUCAUUAAAGAUAAAACUGUAGAUAUGUAAAAUAAACGAAGCGUAAGAACUAACUCUGCUCGCUCCUCCUUGUAACUGAUAAAUCGAUCCGUUAGUGUAGAUUCUGUUUUGCAGGUGUCAACAACAUACUCAGUUUCGAUAUGUCUUAUGAAGGUUCCUCCUUCGUUAUAUGCACAAAAGAAAAGCGAAGGAACGAGAACGAAUCAGGUAGUAAGAGAAAAUAGGUGUUUCAUUAGUUGACUGUAAGGGAAAACAAACCGUCGACCUUAAGUUUUAAAGUACACGAAACCAAUCUACUACUAAUGUUGCACCGGUCCGGAACUACUAAAAAAUCCAAAACAUUGUCCUUCAGCAGAGAUUUUUCAUUUUUAACAUAGUACGAACGACUAGUUUACUAGUUAGUACAACUCAAGCACGUAAGGUAACUAGAUUGUGCUACUCUUAUAUCUCUAUACAACUGUGUGGUCGUGUAAGGCAACAGUAUGUCUUGUUUCGAUUCCCCUACUAUGUAUUAGAGGAUCUAUACACGACUACAUGAGGAAUGCUCCUUCAACAACUUGUAAUGGUGUGCAUUACACCACCGACGACGCUGAGCACCACGAAACUCACGUGUUGGAAGCGGACGAGAGGGGCCGCAGAUGUCGCUGCUGGUAACGAAGAAGGCACUACGGGAGCUUACCUGUACCCAACGUAGCUCCUGAUGAUGCUACCACUCGUCUCGCUCAUACUGGACCUCUCGGAGCUGCUACCGUGCCUACUCGUCGACGAGACACGGCCGUUCAGAACACUGACGUUAACUUGCUGUACUGCCUCUCCACGAUCUAUGUCCCAAUUCCAACGAACAAAUAAACGACUCAAACUAUGUGAAAACCUGUUCACACAUUACCAACGUGGAACAUUGGUCCAUCUAUCGAGUGACUAUCAGGAGAUCCAAAUUGUAUGAAAAUCGAGAUUACAUGAACCGAACGAAAUGGCAGUAAGUAAGUUUUUUUAGGAUUUUUUAUGUACGUACACACGAUAGUUAAUUUCGGUG
Molecule: ribosomal RNA, 2689 nt
Filed under: Triticum aestivum (bread wheat)
Lineage: Eukaryota; Viridiplantae; Streptophyta; Magnoliopsida; Poales; Poaceae
Description: partial small subunit ribosomal RNA
Source: RNAcentral